Molecule: ribosomal RNA, 254 nt
Filed under: uncultured bacterium
Lineage: Bacteria
Description: partial 16S ribosomal RNA
Rfam family: Bacterial small subunit ribosomal RNA
Source: RNAcentral
UACGUAGGUGGCAAGCGUUGUCCGGAUUUAUUGGGCGUAAAGGGCUCGUAGGCGGCUCAGUAAGUCGGGUGUGAAACCUCCAGGCUCAACCUGGAGACGCCACUCGAUACUGCUGUGGCUAGAGUCCGGUAGGGGAGCAUGGAAUUCCUGGUGUAGCGGUGAAAUGCGCAGAUAUCAGGAGGAACACCGGUGGCGAAGGCGGCGUUCUGGACUGCAACUGACACUGAGGAACGAAAGCCAGGGGAGCAAACGGG